UGUCGCCUUUGUGUUUCAGAUCAAUGCAGAAUUUCAAAGAACAACUACUGUACUUCAGGUACCGAAAUUUAUGUCUGUGUUUGACUGUCACACUCCCAAGCUACUGACGCCAUUUUGUGCCAACGAUGGAGCACUUGGAAGAAGACUGGAGAUCAUAAUGGAAAUGCUGCAGUGAUUGACUUCCUCCCCAGCACUCUUCGAUUGAGAGGACCAGAGAGAUUGUUCCUCGGUAUCUUACAAAAAAUACCUUGGAGAACAAGGGGGACAUCUUAUCAAAGAAUUCAACGACACUGAGAACUUGGAGGAACUUGAACAGCUCAUAAUGGCCAUUAAUGUGACCCCAAAGCGUGGAGCUUCUACAAGCAACUGCCCAAAGAACAUUGGGAUCCUCAUUAAGGGCGUGGAAGUCAUCACAGGACUUGGAGAUAUUGCAAGGGCUUGCAUUGUCCUC
This is a long non-coding RNA of Carassius gibelio (silver crucian carp), 451 nucleotides long. RefSeq lists it as uncharacterized. The record is from RefSeq and is a predicted model, not a curated record. NCBI's taxonomy places the organism in Eukaryota, Metazoa, Chordata, Actinopteri, Cypriniformes, Cyprinidae. The transcript has 3 exons.